Molecule: ribosomal RNA, 476 nt
Filed under: uncultured bacterium
Lineage: Bacteria
Description: partial 16S ribosomal RNA
Rfam family: Bacterial small subunit ribosomal RNA
Source: RNAcentral
GAUGAACGCUGGCGGCGUGCCUAACACAUGCAAGUCGAACGAGAUGCGUAUUGGAAAGCUUCGGCCGGAAGAUGCGUUAUCUAGUGGCGGACGGGUGAGUAACACGUGGGUAACCUGCCUUAUGGAGGGGGAUAACAGAGAGAAAUCACUGCUAAUACCGCAUAAGCACACAUUGCCGCAUGGCAGAGUGUGAAAAGAUUUAUCGCCAUAAGAUGGACCCGCGUCUGAUUAGCCAGUUGGCAGGGUAAAAGCCUACCAAAGCAACGAUCAGUAGCCGAUCUGAGAGGAUGACCGGCCACAUUGGGACUGAGACACGGCCCAAACUCCUACGGGAGGCAGCAGUGGGAAUAUUGCACAAUGGGGGAAACCCUGAUGCAGCGACGCCGCGUGAGUGAAGAAGUAUUUCGGUAUGUAAAGCUCUAUCAGCAGGGAAGAUAAUGACAGUACCUGACUAAGAAGCCCCGGCUAACUACGUG